GACGAACGCUGGCGGCGUGCCUAAUACAUGCAAGUCGAGCGGACGAAUCGAAAGCUUGCUUUUGAUUCGUUAGCGGCGGACGGGUGAGUAACACGUGGGCAACCUGCCCUGUAGACGGGGAUAACACCGAGAAAUCGGUGCUAAUACCGGAUAACACGAAAUGUCGCAUGACGUUUCGUUGAAAGACGGCGCAAGCUGCCGCUACAGGAUGGGCCCGCGGCGCAUUAGCUAGUUGGUGAGGUAACGGCUCGCCAAGGCGACGAUACGUAGCCGACCUGAGAGGGUGAUCGGCCACACUGGGACUGAGACACGGCCCAGACUCCUACGGGAGGCAGCAGUAGGGAAUCUUCCGCAAUGGACGAAAGUCUGACGGAGCAACGCCGCGUGAGCGAAGAAGGCCUUCGGGUCGUAAAGCUCUGUUGUUAGGGAAGAACAAGUAACGCAGUAACUGGCGUUACCGUGACGGUACCUAACGAGAAAGCCACGGCUAACUACGUG
RNAcentral lists this ribosomal RNA (498 nucleotides) under uncultured bacterium. RNAcentral's name for it is "partial 16S ribosomal RNA". It matches the Rfam family "Bacterial small subunit ribosomal RNA", at positions 28 to 507 of the family's 1533-position model. The record is from RNAcentral.